CGGUGCUAGGAAACCAUGUCGUGUUCAGCCCCAGACUUAACAAGGCAGAGCCUUCUUUAUUCUAUCCCAAAUCAUUAAGUCACCUGAGACCCUUUGGGGUCAGGAACCGCAGGAAUCCCAAGAACCACCUGGCACCUUACCGUCAGCAUCAUUCCCGGGUCACCAAUGACAGCACCACUCUUGGUUCUGAUCCAAUGCAGGAGCAGGAAACCGAAGGAGUUUGUGGAGGCCACCUUGUACAAAUCCAGGGACGUGAUGCCCGGAGAGGAGCCUUAAGGACCGUAUUGGGGAGAUGUGGAGGGGAGGACAUAGGGUCCAGCGUGGCAGCAGCCGUCGGCCAUGCAAAGCCGCCCCGCAGCUACGGCAGGCAGCUCCCAGCAAAUGGAAUAUUGACCGGGUCUCUACACUUGGUUUAUAAGCAAAGUGAAAAGCAAAUCUCUCUCGGUGGCCAUUUUUCACUGAUGAGUGGCUCAGACCAUCAGAUUGAUUUCACCCAUGUGCUGGGGACCGGGACGCCACUCGGAGCACCCCAGAGGUUUAUUAAAAAGAACAGUCAAUGCUAUGCAGGUAUGGUUUCCUUUGGCACCUCAGCAGUAGUCAGCAGGGCAGAGGAGGGAGUCUGAAAGCGUUGCCAGGCUGACACGUCAGGACCAGAAGACCCAGCAGGUCAAGGAGAAGGCCCAUGGGGGACAUCUGGGCUGUGUCCUGGGUGACCAGCAGUGCUCCCUUCCAGCUGAGUAACAGGUGCACCGUGCCCGUCACUGGGACAUGAUGUCCUUAAAGACCUCACUGUCAUCAUGACGUGUUGGAUCCAUCGCUGUGCGUCCACCAAGACCAG
Molecule: long non-coding RNA, 838 nt
Organism: Suricata suricatta (meerkat)
Lineage: Eukaryota; Metazoa; Chordata; Mammalia; Carnivora; Herpestidae
Exons: 3
Source: RefSeq, a predicted model, not a curated record